AGUGGCGAACGGGUGAGUAACACGUGGGAAACCUACCUCUUAGCAGGGGAUAACAUUUGGAAACAGAUGCUAAUACCGUAUAACAAUAGCAACCGCAUGGUUGCUACUUAAAAGAUGGUUCUGCUAUCACUAAGAGAUGGUCCCGCGGUGCAUUAGUUAGUUGGUGAGGUAAUGGCUCACCAAGACGAUGAUGCAUAGCCGAGUUGAGAGACUGAUCGGCCACAAUGGGACUGAGACACGGCCCAUACUCCUACGGGAGGCAGCAGUAGGGAAUCUUCCACAAUGGGCGAAAGCCUGAUGGAGCAACGCCGCGUGUGUGAUGAAGGGUUUCGGUUCGUAAAACACUGUUGUAAGAGAAGAAUGACAUUGAGAGUAACUGUUCAAUG
Molecule: ribosomal RNA, 386 nt
Filed under: uncultured Weissella sp.
Lineage: Bacteria; Bacillati; Bacillota; Bacilli; Lactobacillales; Lactobacillaceae
Description: bacterial SSU rRNA
Rfam family: Bacterial small subunit ribosomal RNA
Source: RNAcentral